AUUGAACGCUGGCGGCAUGCCUUACACAUGCAAGUCGAACGGCAGCACGGGAGCAAUCCUGGUGGCGAGUGGCGAACGGGUGAGUAAUAUAUCGGAACGUGCCCAGUCGUGGGGAUAACGUAGCGAAAGCUACGCUAAUACCGCAUACGAUCUAUGGAUGAAAGCGGGGGAUCGCAAGACCUCGCGCGAUUGGAGCGGCCGAUAUCAGAUUAGGUAGUUGGUGAGGUAAAGGCUCACCAAAGCCGACGAUCUGUAGCUGGUCUGAGAGGACGACCAGCCACACUGGGACUGAGACACGGCCCAGACUCCUACGGGAGGCAGCAGUGGGGAAUUUUGGACAAUGGGCGCAAGCCUGAUCCAGCAAUGCCGCGUGCAGGAUGAAGGCCUC
RNAcentral lists this ribosomal RNA (388 nucleotides) under uncultured bacterium. RNAcentral's name for it is "bacterial SSU rRNA". It matches the Rfam family "Bacterial small subunit ribosomal RNA", at positions 30 to 418 of the family's 1533-position model. The record is from RNAcentral.